Molecule: ribosomal RNA, 460 nt
Filed under: Capnocytophaga sp. oral taxon 329
Lineage: Bacteria; Pseudomonadati; Bacteroidota; Flavobacteriia; Flavobacteriales; Flavobacteriaceae
Description: bacterial SSU rRNA
Rfam family: Bacterial small subunit ribosomal RNA
Source: RNAcentral
GAUGAACGCUAGCGGCAGGCCUAACACAUGCAAGUCGAGGGAGGAGCUUUCGGGCUUCGACCGGCGUACGGGUGCGUAACGCGUAUACAAUCUGCCUUUCACAUAGGGAUAGCCCGAAGAAAUUUGGAUUAAUACCUAAUGGUAUAUAGGAGUGGCAUCACAUUUAUAUUAAAGCUGAGGCGGUGAAAGAUGAGUAUGCGUUCUAUUAGCUAGUUGGAGAGGUAACGGCUCCCCAAGGCUACGAUAGAUAGGGGUUCUGAGAGGGAUAUCCCCCACACUGGUACUGAGAUACGGACCAGACUCCUACGGGAGGCAGCAGUGAGGAAUAUUGGACAAUGGUCGGAAGACUGAUCCAGCCAUGCCGCGUGCAGGAAGACGGCCUUAUGGGUUGUAAACUGCUUUUGCAGGGGAAGAAUAAGGACUACGAGUAGUUUGAUGACGGUACUCUGCGAAUAAGCAU